CCUCAUUGGUCCACUCUCCUUCUCUCCCUGCUUAUAUACCCGGUUCCUCUAAUUAUUCUUCGCUGGUUCCUCCGUUCAUGUAUACCAUGUUUGUAACGUCUUUCCCUGAGCUCUUUGGAUUAUGCUUCUUGUGAAUUCUCUUCUGUGAAUCUCCUACGACCUUACGCUGGUGGAUCGUUUAGGAAUCAGAAGUGAAGAACUCACCACGCCUUUAAGAGCCACGGCAUUGGAUGGGAAGGAGCUGCUUCGAAUCACACAUCGAACCCGACCCAUUCAACUAGUCCUCAGUCCGCUGUUCCACCUACUUCCGCGCCGGCACCUCCUGAGGAGGCUGACCCCUGUGAGUUAUCGGGUGUGCCAAUUGAGUAUCAUGAUCUGCGGGAGGUGUUUAGUAAACAACAAGCCCUGACUCUUCCACCUCACCGCCCCUAUGACUGUGCUAUCGACCUGCUUCCAGGAGCACCUUUACCUACUAGCAGGUUAUAUCCAAUCUCCCGUCCAGAACGUCAAGUACUUGAAGACUAUAUCACUAAGUCAUUAGCUGCUGGGCUCAUUAGACACUCAUUGUCACCACUUGGGGCAGGGUUCUUUUUUGUCAGCAAGAAAGACCGGUCUCUGCGGCCGUGUAUUGACUUCAGGGGACUAAAUGCUAUCACAGUGAAUAAUAAAUAUCCUCUUCCUCUCAUUUCUUUUUACCAAGCUAUACUUACGCAAUGCGUACCAUUUAGUGCAUAUAAGACAGGGGGAUGAAUGGAAGACAGCCUUCAAAACUCCCUUAGGCCACUUUGAGUAUUUAGUGAUGCCUUUCGGAUUAUGCAA
Girardinichthys multiradiatus is the source of this 819-nucleotide long non-coding RNA. RefSeq lists it as uncharacterized. NCBI's taxonomy places the organism in Eukaryota, Metazoa, Chordata, Actinopteri, Cyprinodontiformes, Goodeidae. The record is from RefSeq and is a predicted model, not a curated record. The transcript has 3 exons.